CAUACAGGUAUGAUGAACUAAUUUUUUUUGUACAUGGUUGUGUGUACUCUGUUUUAAAUUACAAAUCUUCUUAUGAAAGUGAAAGGGUGGGUAGUUGGGGGUGAACACGUAGAAGUUGGAAUGAUAAGUAGAAAGGGAAAACUAUUUAGAUUAUUCAGUGAUAAAACAAAAGACCCUGUGAGAUGAGUUAAAUUCAUGAGAAAUAGAAUGCAAUAAGCGAUUAAGGUUUGGUAUAGGAAAUGAAAAAAUGACCCUGUGAGAUGUGAAUAAUAGCACUGUUAAUGAAAAAAAUGAAAACGAAAUCUCGAAAGAGGAUGGAAAUGGCUACUUGACGGUGAUGAUGUUGCAAACAGUGAAGAUAUUGGUAUGAAUUUGGACAAUCCCAUAUGGUUAAUGUGCUUGUUUCCCAUUUUUCAAUAUUUUCGCUUUCUAUUGUUCUCUCUUCCUCCGUUCAAAACCAGUAGUCUGAUAUGAUUUUUAUUAGAUUGAUUUCUUU
Molecule: long non-coding RNA, 496 nt
Filed under: Vigna radiata
Lineage: Eukaryota; Viridiplantae; Streptophyta; Magnoliopsida; Fabales; Fabaceae
Description: long non-coding RNA (VRAD_LNC012754)
Source: RNAcentral